GAGAUCGGGAUAACACCUGGAAACAGAUGCUAAUACCGGAUAACAAUAGAUGAUGCCUAUCAACUGUUUAAAAGAUGGUUCUGCUAUCACUCUUGGAUGGACCUGCGGUGCAUUAGCUAGUUGGUAGGGUAACGGCCUACCAAGGCGAUGAUGCAUAGCCGAGUUGAGAGACUGAUCGGCCACAUUGGGACUGAGACACGGCCCAAACUCCUACGGGAGGCAGCAGUC
RNAcentral lists this ribosomal RNA (228 nucleotides) under uncultured Lactobacillus sp. Its description in RNAcentral is "partial 16S ribosomal RNA". It matches the Rfam family "Bacterial small subunit ribosomal RNA", at positions 134 to 355 of the family's 1533-position model. Lineage: Bacteria; Bacillati; Bacillota; Bacilli; Lactobacillales; Lactobacillaceae. The record is from RNAcentral.